Molecule: RNase P RNA, 447 nt
Filed under: Nostoc spongiaeforme FACHB-130
Lineage: Bacteria; Bacillati; Cyanobacteriota; Cyanophyceae; Nostocales; Nostocaceae
Also listed under: 1 other name
Description: RNase P RNA component class A
Rfam family: Bacterial RNase P class A
About the family: Ribonuclease P (RNase P) is a ubiquitous endoribonuclease, found in archaea, bacteria and eukarya as well as chloroplasts and mitochondria. Its best characterised activity is the generation of mature 5'-ends of tRNAs by cleaving the 5'-leader elements of precursor-tRNAs.
Source: RNAcentral
GAGAGUAGGCGCUGGCAGUUGCAGAACUAUACAUAAUCAUAGUUUUGAGGAAAGUCCGGACUCCCGAAAGACCAAACUUGCUGGAUAACGUCCAGUGCGAGCGAUCGUGAGGAUAGUGCCACAGAAAGAUACCGCCAAAACAAGUAAAAAGUAAAAAGUAAAAAAGCAAAAGAAACAAAAAUUUCUUUUUACUUUUGCCCUUUAACUUUUACCUUUUUUGGUAAGGGUGCAAAGGUGCGGUAAGAGCGCACCAGCAACAUCGAGAGGUGUUGGCUCGGUAAACCCCGGUUGGGAGCAAGGCCAGAGGAACUACGGUUGGUCUUUUACCAGUUCCGCGUAUGAGAGCCGCUAGAGGCGUUUGGUAACAAACGUCCCAGAUAGAUAACUGCCAUCUUGUAAAAUUUUUUACAUAGAUAACAGAACCCGGCUUACUACCAACUCUCUCCU